Molecule: ribosomal RNA, 448 nt
Filed under: uncultured bacterium
Lineage: Bacteria
Description: partial 16S ribosomal RNA
Rfam family: Bacterial small subunit ribosomal RNA
Source: RNAcentral
UCCAGACUCCUACGGGAGGCAGCAGUGGGGAAUAUUGGGCAAUGGAGGAAACUCUUACCCAGCAAUGCCGCGUGAAUGAAGAAGGUCUUCGGAUUGUAAAGUUCUUUAAUUGGGGACGAAAAAAAUGACGGUACCCAAGGAAUAAGCCCCGGCUAACUACGUGCCAGCAGCCGCGGUAAUACGUAGGGGGCAAGCGUUAUCCGGAUUCACUGGGUGUAAAGGGAGCGUAAACGGCGACGCAAGUCUGGAGUGAAAGCCCGGGGCCCAACCCCGGGACUGCUCUGGAAACUGCGGCGCUGGAGUACGGGAGGGGCAGGCGGAAUUCCUGGUGUAGCGGUGAAAUGCGUAGAUAUCAGGAGGAACACCGGCGGUGAAGGCGGCCUGCUGGACCGUGACUGACGUUGAGGCUCGAGAGCGUGGGGAGCAAACAGGAUUAGAUACCCUCGUA